RNAcentral lists this ribosomal RNA (253 nucleotides) under uncultured bacterium. RNAcentral's name for it is "partial 16S ribosomal RNA". It matches the Rfam family "Bacterial small subunit ribosomal RNA", at positions 524 to 776 of the family's 1533-position model. The record is from RNAcentral.
UACGGAGGGUGCUAGCGUUGUUCGGAAUCACUGGGCGUAAAGCGCGUGUAGGCGGUCCGUUAAGUCUGAUGUGAAAGCCCGGGGCUCACCCCCGGAAGUGCAUUGGAAACUGACGAACUCGAGUCCCGGAGAGGAGGGUGGAAUUCCUGGUGUAGCGGUGAAAUGCGUAGAUAUCAGGAGGAACACCGGUGGCGAAGGCGGCCCCCUGGACGGUGACUGACGCUGAGACACGAAGGCCAGGGGAGCAAACGGG